This 433-nucleotide ribosomal RNA is filed under the name uncultured bacterium. Its description in RNAcentral is "bacterial SSU rRNA". It matches the Rfam family "Bacterial small subunit ribosomal RNA", at positions 29 to 506 of the family's 1533-position model. The record is from RNAcentral.
GCGAACGCUGGCGGCAGGCCUAACACAUGCAAGUCGAGCGCCCGUAGCAAUACGGGAGCGGCAGACGGGAGAGUAACACGUGGGAACGUACCCUUCAGUUCGGAACAACCCAGGGAAACUUGGGCUAAUACCGAAUACGUCCGUAAGGAGAAAGAUUUAUCGCUGAAGGAUCGGCCCGCGUCUGAUUAGCUAGUUGGUGAGGUAACGGCUCACCAAGGCGACGAUCAGUAGCUGGUCUGAGAGGAUGAUCAGCCUCACUGGGACUGAGACACGGCCCAGACUCCUACGGGAGGCAGCAGUGGGGAAUAUUGGACAAUGGGCGCAAGCCUGAUCCAGCCAUGCCGCGUGGGUGAUGAAGGCCCUAGGGUUGUAAAGCCCUUUCGGCGGGGAAGAUAAUGACGGUACCCGCAGAAGAAGCCCCGGCUAACUUCGU